GAUGGCGAGAAGCUCAAGACGGUGGUAUUAUGCAAGGCAGGCAAGAUCGUCAAGGAGAUAGCCGUCGUCGAAAAGUGGCCACCCCCACCACCGCCUCCGCCUCCUCCUCCACCGGAAUGCAAGGUGGUGUCAUACCCAUACCCCUGUACCAUAUCCGUUUCUACGCUGCAAGCACCGCCACCGCCGCCACUGAAGUAGCCACGCAUAAUGGAUGAAGGGAUCCUAUUGCGCAUUUUCUAACGCUGUCUUGAACAUUUUUUCCCGAUACAUGUUCUUUAAAUUUGCAGGCGGCAAUACUGGUCAUAACCAUGGUCGAUCUGUGCUGCGCCUGCAGAACCAAGAUCACCAAAAUCCUGGAAGGCCUCAAAGGUACAUUUACUAUGCAAAAAAGUUGGGAAAGGUCCAACCUUUUUUUUUUUUGGAAGCGGAGUAAAAGGAUGGGGAGUAAUUAUAGAUCUUAUUACGAGCAAUUUCUUACAGAACAAUGAUUGUCCAUAUGUGUAUGAGUAUAGACAAUCAUUUCGUGUUAAAGCAAAAAAGAAACAGUUAAAUUCCACAGUGGAAAAUUAACUUAACUUGUAGCCGGAUGAAGGUAUCUAAAAUCCUGUGAAAUUCCAUAUGUCCAGUCUGAAAUCUGGAAUGUUCUGACAAACACCAUGUAGGCAUGCAUAUGCAGGGCAGCAUUUUUACAGAAGAACCGGUUAAGUAACCAUGAUUAAGAGUGCAGCAAUUGGAUUAUAUGGCUCGAUUACAUUUAUUCUUGUCUGUACGAGUGUACCUGCAUGCAUCAAUAAACUCAUCAAUUGUUGCAGAGGAGUUUUGCAUCGAGAAGUUUGAGUUCGAGGAUAAGCUCAACAAGGUGAUUGUACGCGGGAAGUUCGAUGCCGAGAAGCUCAAGAAGACGAUAUUGUGCAAGGCUGGCCACAUCGUCAAGGAGAUAGUGCUCGUCGAAAAGUGGCCGCCGCCGCCACCACCACCUCCGUCUCCGGCUCCGCCGCCGCCGCCCAAACCGGAAUGCAAGGUGGUGCCGUAUCCGUACCCUGUACCGUAUCCGUUUCCAUCCCAGAGCUGGCCAUGCCCACCAACUCAGCCUCCAUGCCACUGCUGCAAGCCGGCACCGGAAAAACCGAAGCCACAGCCGGAAAAACCGCCAACGCCGCCGCCACAGUGCAAUUGCCACUGCUGCAAGCCGCCACCGGAAAAACCGAAGCCACCGCCACCGUGCAAUUGCCACUGCUGCAAGCCGCCACCGCCACCGGAAAAACCGAAGCCACCGGCGGAGAAACCGCCGCCCUGCAAGUGCGAGUGCUCGCACGACAAGGAUGACUGCAAGCAUCAUUGCCCACCAUGCCCGCCGUGCCCGCCGUGCCCACCAUGCCCGCCGCCGAACUACUGGCCGCCGCAGCCGUGGCCCGCAUGCCGGUGCCCGGAGCAGGACAGCCAGUGCUCCAUCAUGUGAUCCAUGGUUCCUUU
RNAcentral lists this long non-coding RNA (1473 nucleotides) under Sorghum bicolor (sorghum). RNAcentral's name for it is "long non-coding RNA (SBIC_LNC011080)". Lineage: Eukaryota; Viridiplantae; Streptophyta; Magnoliopsida; Poales; Poaceae. The record is from RNAcentral.